GAUCCUGGCUCAGGAUGAACGCUAGCGGCAGGCUUAACACAUGCAAGUCGAGGGGCAGCAUAAUGGUAGCAAUACUAUUGAUGGCGACCGGCGGACGGGUGCGUAACGCGUAUGCAACCUACCCUUUACAGGGGGAUAACACUGAGAAAUCGGUACUAAUACCCCAUAAUAUUCUGGGAGGCAUCUUUCGGGGUUGAAAGCUUUGGUGGUAAAGGAUGGGCAUGCGUUGGUAUUAGCUAGUUGGUAAGGUAACGG
This 255-nucleotide ribosomal RNA is filed under the name uncultured bacterium. RNAcentral describes it as "partial 16S ribosomal RNA". It matches the Rfam family "Bacterial small subunit ribosomal RNA", at positions 15 to 263 of the family's 1533-position model. The record is from RNAcentral.